UUUUUUAUAGCUUAAUUAAAAAGCAUCAAAUUUUUAAUUUGAAAAUGAUUUAAAAAUC
This 58-nucleotide transfer RNA is filed under the name Omalonyx unguis. RNAcentral's name for it is "tRNA-Lys". The record is from RNAcentral. Lineage: Eukaryota; Metazoa; Mollusca; Gastropoda; Stylommatophora; Succineidae.